RNAcentral lists this ribosomal RNA (497 nucleotides) under uncultured bacterium. RNAcentral describes it as "bacterial SSU rRNA". It matches the Rfam family "Bacterial small subunit ribosomal RNA", at positions 21 to 507 of the family's 1533-position model. The record is from RNAcentral.
GGCUCAGAGUGAACGCUGGCGGCAGGCCUAAUACAUGCAAGUCGAACGGCAGCACAGCAGAGCUUGCUCUGUGGGUGGCGAGUGGCGGACGGGUGAGGAAUACAUGGGAAUCUGCCCAGUCGUGGGGGAUAACGUAGGGAAACUUACGCUAAUACCGCAUGCGCCCUUCGGGGGAAAGCCGGGGACCUUCGGGCCUGGCGCGAUUGGAUGAGCCCAUGUCGGAUUAGCUAGUUGGCGGGGUAAUGGCCCACCAAGGCGACGAUCCGUAGCUGGUCUGAGAGGAUGAUCAGCCACACUGGAACUGAGACACGGUCCAGACUCCUACGGGAGGCAGCAGUAGGGAAUAUUGGACAAUGGGCGCAAGCCUGAUCCAGCCAUGCCGCGUGAGUGAAGAAGGCCCUCGGGUUGUAAAGCUCUUUUGUCCGGAAAGAAAAGCGCCGGGUUAAUACCCUAGUGUCCUGACGGUACCGGAAGAAUAAGCACCGGCUAACUUCGUG